This 384-nucleotide ribosomal RNA is filed under the name uncultured bacterium. RNAcentral's name for it is "bacterial SSU rRNA". It matches the Rfam family "Bacterial small subunit ribosomal RNA", at positions 30 to 416 of the family's 1533-position model. The record is from RNAcentral.
AUUGAACGCUGGCGGCAUGCUUUACACAUGCAAGUCGAACGGUAACAGGCCUUCGGGUGCUGACGAGUGGCGAACGGGUGAGUAAUGCAUCGGAACGUGCCCAAUCGUGGGGGAUAACGUAGCGAAAGUUACGCUAAUACCGCAUAUUCUGUGAGCAGGAAAGCAGGGGAUCGCAAGACCUUGCGCUGAUUGAGCGGCCGAUAUCAGAUUAGCUAGUUGGUGAGGUAAAGGCUCACCAAGGCGACGAUCUGUAGCGGGUCUGAGAGGAUGAUCCGCCACACUGGAACUGAGACACGGUCCAGACUCCUACGGGAGGCAGCAGUGGGGAAUAUUGGGCAAUGGGCGCAAGCCUGACCCAGCUAUGCCGCGUGUGUGAAGAAGGCC